GCAUUUGUUUAAAACAAAUUGGUUGAGUUUCGUGAUGCUAAAAUCAACUUACGUUCCACUCGAUUGUAUUCCUUAUAUCUUCAGGAAAAAAAAAAGGGGAUGAUUUAGGCUGAUUUAACAUUGACUUUGAAACCAUAUAUCUGUUCUCUUUGUCAUGAAAUAUAAUUCUGUGGGAAAUUUGACCCUUUCCUUAAAGAAUGCAUGAAAUUUUUGCAAAGAUCGUAUCUCCAUUAAAUACCAAAUUUAUUCCAAGUGUUCAUGAAAGACUAGAAUAAAAACUGGGCGAUUAGCUUAAAAUUAUUGCAAAAUUCUAACUGUGCUAGAAAGUUCUCUUUUUCUUUAGUCAUUUGCAACUUGUUGAGGGUGGCGUUAUCUCUGUGUAAAAUAGCAAACAUGAAUUCUGACCUCUACUGCUGACUGUUCUGCCAGAUGUUUCUCAAAAUAAAAGAUAUCGUCUCCGAGAGCUCUGUAAACAAAUCCUGACCUGAAUGCCUCCUUUUGCAUUCCUCCCAAUUUAUCAGAUAAAAUGAAUUCUAUUUUCUUUUCAAACAAGAACUGUAUAACUUCUUUUUAGAGAAAACAGAGAAAUGGAGCAUUAUAAUCGGUGAAACACACUGGAUCUUGGCAGGCAACUCCUAGCAAGGAAGCAUUAUAUUUUGGCUGAGCAUAUUUUGUACUUUUAUCUUGGCUAAAGCCUUUUUAAAAAGAACAUGGUUUCAAAGAAUUUGUUUCUGCUGUUCUAGUCUUGUUUUUCAGAAGAGUUUUAUUAGUCUUAUUCAGUGGUUAGGCUCUUAGACUAUAAGGAAUGUGAAGUCUCCACAUAAAAUUAUUAUACUGAUGUAACUUAAAGGAACUUUUGAAAUGGUAAGGUCUCUAUUCUUUAUAAAAUUUAUAUACAAAAUUUAUGUACAAAAUGCUUUGUAUAAUUUAUGUACAAAAAUGCUAAGGUGAAUGGCCCUGCUGGCAAGAAACAUCCAUGUGAAACUCAACAAGUGUUUGUAUUUUGGAAUUAUGUUUUGUAGAGAU
This 1026-nucleotide long non-coding RNA is filed under the name Bos taurus (domestic cattle). RNAcentral describes it as "long non-coding RNA NONBTAT000198". The record is from RNAcentral. Lineage: Eukaryota; Metazoa; Chordata; Mammalia; Artiodactyla; Bovidae.